GCUGGGACCAUUUCACAGUUGCUUCUCAUGCCCAUGCUGGCUCCUGCUUUAGGAGAGGGGAGGUUGCUUUCAAUAGGUCUCUUCUUUACAUGCACACAUAUGUUUCUUUACAGCAUUGCGUGGUCCUUCUGGGUACCUUAUGCUGCUGCUAUGCUCUCGAUUUUUUUUGUGUUUUCACAACCAUGUAUGCGGACAAUUGUGUCGAAGCAAGUUGGGACCUCUGAGCAGGGAAAGGCUCAAGGAUGUAUCUCAGGCAUCGGUUCCUUUGCCAAUGUCGUUUCUCCCUUAGUGUUCUCACCUUUAACAGCUUUGUUCCUAUCUGAAAGAGCACCAUUUCAUUUCCCUGGUUUCAGUAUAAUGUGCGUCGGAUUCGCUUCGAUGAUAGCCAUGAUUCAGAGUACCAUGAUGAGGGUGGCUCCUCCCAUUUCAAAUGAGAGAAUCAGUAAUAGCAACUACAUGGAUGCGUAAUCAUGCCAAGAGACUUCAAAAUGCGUUUGUUGCUUUCUACCUUCAUAUUGAGCCCUACUAUUUAUUGUGUGCUAGUGAAAUAGUAUAUUUGUGGGCCUAGAAAAUCUGAACCUGAAAUUGAAACCUAGCACUGUUGGUUGUAGGAGUAGCUAUAAGAUUUAAACCAUUUGAUGUUAUGGAUAGUGAGUAUCUCAUUGUAGUAGCAUUGAGUAGAGGAGACUCAAAAUGUGAGAGCCUAAAAUAUGGAAGUGGAUCAGUGAUAACCGCAGUGGAGUUUGUAUGGCGUCCAUGUCUGUUUAUUAUUAUUUCUUUUGGCAGUCCGUGGUAUUAGUUAGAUGUGGCUAUAAAUAGAAAAGCUCAGUUUGUAUGUUAUGCAAUGA
This 848-nucleotide unclassified non-coding RNA is filed under the name Hevea brasiliensis (rubber tree). Lineage: Eukaryota; Viridiplantae; Streptophyta; Magnoliopsida; Malpighiales; Euphorbiaceae. The record is from RNAcentral.